Molecule: ribosomal RNA, 235 nt
Filed under: uncultured Eubacteriales bacterium
Lineage: Bacteria; Bacillati; Bacillota; Clostridia; Eubacteriales
Description: uncultured Clostridiales bacterium partial 16S ribosomal RNA
Rfam family: Bacterial small subunit ribosomal RNA
Source: RNAcentral
CGAACGGGUGAGUAACGCGUGAGCAACCUGCCUAUGACAGUGGGAUAGCCUCGGGAAACCGGGAUUAAUACCGAAUAAAAUCGUAGAAACACAUGUUUUAACGGUCAAAGAUUUAUCGGUCAUAGAUGGGCUCGCGUCUGAUUAGCUAGUUGGUGAGAUAACAGCCCACCAAGGCGACGAUCAGUAGCCGGUCUGAGAGGAUGAACGGCCACAUUGGAACUGAGACACGGUUCAA